Molecule: long non-coding RNA, 2189 nt
Organism: Coturnix japonica (Japanese quail)
Lineage: Eukaryota; Metazoa; Chordata; Aves; Galliformes; Phasianidae
Source: Ensembl
GAGAAUUUGUCCAAAUAAUUCAGCAAAGAUUUCCCUUUAAAACCAACUUAAUUAAUGUACAAAAAAUUUAGAAAGAAUUUCCCUUUUGAAAGAGCCUUUUGUCCUCUCUAUGUGACUGAAAAGAUCUGUGAGAAGCGCUGAGGAUGUGAAAUCUCUGGUGCAAAUGAAGUAGCACACUGUUAAACAUGGCUAUUAAGAUAUUUUCUUGGGAGUUGUUUUUGAUUCAUGUGGAAUAGAUUAAAAGUCUGUUUCAAAUCCCACAAGAUUUACCAUGGAGUAUAAUUAUACAUGAAACAGAAUGAGGAAUGCAGUCCAACAAUUACUUUAAUUAGAUGGUGGUUACUGGAGCUGUCAGUGUGCCUAGUCUCACAAAGAGCUAAGAAAGGAGAGUUAGGUAAUGGAAUUGUUGAUAAAUGUUUGAACUGCAGAGGAAUUAAUUAUUUGUAUAAAUAAAUACUGGACUAGAAACAUUAAUAAGCUGAUGGGGUCUUGCCCUUCAUCCUCAUUGGUGAUAUAAUACCUAUCUUAAAGACCACCUUGCUGUCUUGAUAAAGCAGCCCUCAAGGGUUAACCUUGCUCUCAGAGUAAUUGAGCCUUUUGCACUUUUUGGGGGGCCUGAAACUUGAAGUAAUAAAACUUGGCAUGAGCAGCAAUGUAAGACUGACAUCAGUAACACCUGAGAUCCUCUUUUCUUCUACUUUCAUUUUGUCAGUGAGAUUAAUGUGAAUGCUUCUGAAAGUGAAAGAAGAGGUGAAGAUAUUAAUUCUCCUUGACCAGGGACUCUACAGUCUCUUCCAAAAUCUGGAACAAAACACCUGGGCUAAACAUAAGGCAUCUCCAGCUUUCCAAGAGACUCAGCAGUUCACAGUCCCCUUUUUUCAGAAGAUAGACCCCAUCAAGCAGUGACAUUUCUGAGAUCUCAGAGACAUCCAUUGAAAGCCUCUCUGUGAUAUGGUGCAGCCCAGGUAUUUUUGAAGCCCGUGUUCUGAAGAGAAAAGGAUGCCACAGAAGAAAUCCAGCAGAGCCCAUAGAAGCAGGUUAGUGACUGUGUGACAGCAGCAGUAAAAUUCCAAUUCACAGCCCCCCCCGCCCCAUCAAUUUCUGAGCAGAUGCUGCUGCUGUUCAGGUUUGGCCCAGUCUGAUCCAGGAGGACUCCACCUGUGAAUACCACACUUGUGGUUUUAUGGCACAGAAUUAGUGAAGAAAUGAUAAUCAUAAAGUACAUGUGGGGUACAGAGGCUGCUCUGGAUCAUGUUCUGAAGUAAACAAGCAUGAAUUUCAACACAAACAUUUUUCUGCAGGCACCAUAAAAAGUUUCGCCUCCUGACACACAGAAAGUUCACCAGUCUCACAAAACUGGUUUCCUCAAUGAAAGCAGUAACUGGAGAACGCAGGAGCAGUGAAACAACUGAAUACAAGUAUGCAAUCUGACAUCAUUCAGGCUCAGUACAACUUUUGAAGAAGUACCAAGGAAAAACCAUAAAUGAAAAAGGGAGUGCUAUUUUUGCAGUUAUAAUGGCAUGAGGAUGGAUUUGCAUUUUUCUUUCUAGCUAUUAUGUUUGCUUAACUGAUAGCUAUAACUCAUGUUCUGAGUUACGAACUUCUUGCACUAAUAGCACGCAUUUGUUUUGUACUCUAACCAUCACUCUUCAAAAAGACUGAUGAAUGAUGAAACAGGAUUCAGAAUAGAAUAGUAGGGAAACAUUUUUUUUCAGUGAAGAAAGAAGAAAACUUAAUAUGUUGAGUGCACAAAAAAGAAAACUGAGAAGUGAUAGUGGGAAGAAUUUCUGUCAGAAAGAUGAAUCCACGAGAUUCAGAAGCUGGAAGCUAAACUAAGAUAAAUUCAGAGUGUAAUUAAUCAGUGGAACAACCUUCCUCUAGUUAUGAUGGUUUUUCUGUCACCGGCAGUUUUUAACCCAAGUCUCAACAACUUUAUAAGAGAAGUCUUCAUAUUCUUAAAUAAGAUAAAACUUCCAAGGAGAAAUUAUUUGUCUGAGAAUUUUGACCCACAAAGUGGAGGAAGAGAGGAAAAAAGUCUCCAUUAAGCUUUUUCACUUAGUUUUUGCAUCGAUAUGUAAGUCAUUCAAAUAAUUUUAAGAUGCAUGUACCACAGAUAUUUUAUGUUUUUAUCAGCGGGAAUUCAAAGGGAAUCUGAGAACAAAAUAAAAAUAAUGAUGAUCAAAUUGUCA